RNAcentral lists this unclassified non-coding RNA (353 nucleotides) under soil metagenome. RNAcentral describes it as "partial contains 5.8S ribosomal RNA, internal transcribed spacer 2, and large subunit ribosomal RNA". The stretch from base 1 to 120 matches the Rfam family "5.8S ribosomal RNA", at positions 35 to 154 of the family's 154-position model. The record is from RNAcentral.
GAUGAAGAACGUAGCGAAAUGCGAUAAGUAAUGUGAAUUGCAGAAUUCAGUGAAUCAUCGAAUCUUUGAACGCACAUUGCGCCCGCCAGUAUUCUGGCGGGCAUGCCUGUCCGAGCGUCAUUUCAACCCUCGAACCCCUCCGGGGGGUCGGCGUUGGGGAUCGGCCCUUUCACCGGGUGCCGGCCCCUAAAUACAGUGGCGGUCUCGCCGCAGCCUCUCAUGCGCAGUAGUUUGCACACUCGCACCGGGAGCGCGGCGCGUCCUCGUCCGUAAAACACCCCAAACUUCUGAAAUGUUGACUUCGGAUCAGGUAGGAAUACCCGCUGAACUUAAGCAUAUCAAUAAGCGGAGGA